Molecule: ribosomal RNA, 2387 nt
Filed under: Anteholosticha monilata
Lineage: Eukaryota; Ciliophora; Spirotrichea; Urostylida; Holostichidae
Description: eukaryotic LSU rRNA
Rfam family: Eukaryotic large subunit ribosomal RNA (bases 511-2387)
Source: RNAcentral
GUAGGUGAACCUGCGGAAGGAUCAUUAACACUAAUCCAAUUCACCUUAACCAAUCCUUAAGUGCAGUAACGGGUCCAGCCAGCGAAAGCCGGUCGGGCAUUGUUACCGCUCUAUAAACCUAAUCAACCAAAGGAGCCUAACUAAGCUCAACAACUAAAACCAAAUUCUCAACGAUGGAUAUCUUGGUUCCCAUAACGAUGAAGAACGCAGCGAAGUGCGAUAAGCAAUGCGAAUUGCAGAACCGUGAGUCAUCAGAUUUUUGAACGCAACUGGCGCCGAUUGGAACUCCAGCCGGCAUGCUUGUUUCAGUGUCUCUUUUUCUCAUCACCCAAAUCUUAAUGCGAGAGAUACCCUUCUCUUGUCAAGUACGAAAGCACUCUGAGCCCUGCGAGUGGCUUGGCUUCGGUCAAGGCCACACUCAAUGCAGCAGUCACAUUUCACAAUGUGAACUCAUUGAGAGUAGAGUCAGCGCAGUUUACUGCUAGUGCUUAGAGCCUUUAAACUCUUCUUGUAUCUGAAAUCAAGCAGGACCACCCGCUGAACUUAAGCAUAUCACUAAGCGGAGGAAAAGAAAUUAACUAAGAUUGCCUCAGUAACGGCGAGUGAAGCGGCAAAAGCCCAAACUGGAAAUCUCCGUGCUUCGCACGGCGAAUUGUAAUCUACAGGUGGGUAGCUCAAUUGGCUGUGGCGCAGAAGUGCCUUAGAACGGGCCGCCAUAGAGGGUGAAAGCCCCGUACGUGGUGCCAUCGCCUAACGAGCUCCUUCCGACGAGUCGGGUUGUUUUGAAUUGCAGCCCUAAGCUGGGAGAUAGACUUCUUCUAAGGCUAAAUAUAUAUGGGAAACCGAUAGCGAACAAGUACUGUGAAGGAAAGAUGAAAAGAACUUUGAAAAGAGAGUCAAAAGACUUGAAAUCGUUGAGAAGGAAGCGGUAGAAAUUUAUUCUUCUGGUAAGAACAAAGGCAUCCGCCUAACCAUUGAGGGAGUGCUGCACUUAAAAGGCAGUACCUUUUACUUGGGGAAGCGGUAGCUGGGUUCUUACCGUGAGGCAAGUUGGGGUGUCGCACUCCCAUAAGCUGAGUAAAGCUGGGCCUUUUCGGAGGUCACUUUGCUUGUGUUGGGGAGCGUGGCGCCUGAGGAAGCUUUGUGCGAACUUGCCAAAAUGGUUUUUACCGACCCGUCUUGAAACACGGACCAAGGAGUCUAACAAAUAUGCAAGUGUGCUGGUCCAAAAACCAACACGCGUAAUUAACGUGAUUGAUGCCACUACAACUGCAGCAUCGACCGACCAUGAUCCUCUGGAGAAAGGUUUGAGUAUGAGCAUAUCUGUUAGGACCCGAAAGAUGGUGAACUAUGCCUGGGUAGGGUGAAGCCAGGGGAAACUCUGGUGGAGGCUCGUAGCGGUUCUGACGUGCAAAUCGAUCGUCAAACUUGGGUAUAGGGGCGAAAGACUAAUCGAACCAUCUAGUAGCUGGUUCCCUCCGAAGUUUCCCUCAGGAUAGCUGGGACAAUAACGCAGUUUUAUUAGGUAAAGCGAAUGAUUAGAGGCAUCCGGGGUAAUUUGCUCUGGACCUAUUCUCAAACUUUAAAUUGGUAAGAACUCUGGCCUUUCUUAAUUGAGGCAUGGAGGAUCAAUGCGUGUCCCAUGUGGGCCAUUUUUGGUAAGCAGAACUGGCGAUGAGGGUUGCUCCUAACGUCAAGUUAAGGUGCCCAACUACACGCUCAUCAGAAACUACAAAGGGUGUUGGUUCAUAUAGACAGCAGGACGGUGGCCAUGGAAGUCGGAACCCGCUAAGGAGUGUGUAACAACUCACCUGCCGAAUGAACUAGCCCCGAAAAUUGAUGGCGCUUAAGCGUGUGACCGAUACUUGACCAUUGUAGCGAGAGUGAGGCUGCAAUGAGUAGGAGGGCGUGAGCGUUGUUGCGAAGCCUUUGGCGUGAGCCUGGGUUGAACAGCGUUUAGUGCAGAUCUUGGUGGUAGUAGCAAUUAUUCAAAUGAGAACUUUGAAGGCCGAAGUGGAGAAGGAUUCCGUGAGAACAGCAAUUGGUCACGGGUGACUCGAUCCUAAGACAUGGGGGAAAUCCUUGUUAAGUGCACCAUUUGGUGCGUAGUCGAAAGGGAAUGAGGUUAAUAUUCCUCAAGCUGGAUGUGGGUGUUGUAUGGUAACAUAAGUGAGCUCAGAGACGCCAGCACGAGCCUCUGGAAGAGUUAUCUUUUCUUUUUAACAGUCUAACGGCCUUGAAAUUGGAUUAUCCAGAGCUAAGGCGGUAUGGCUGGAAGAGUACCUUGCUUCUCGAGGUAUCAGGUGCGCUCGUGAUGGCCCUUGAAAAUCUGAGUGAGAUAAUUUCACACCAGGUCGUACCCUAAACCGCAUCAGGUCUCCAAGGUU